This 660-nucleotide ribosomal RNA is filed under the name Triticum aestivum (bread wheat). RNAcentral describes it as "partial small subunit ribosomal RNA". The record is from RNAcentral. Lineage: Eukaryota; Viridiplantae; Streptophyta; Magnoliopsida; Poales; Poaceae.
AUGGUGCAUGAGGAGGAGGAGCAGGUGGAGCAACAACAGGAUCCACCAAAGAGGAAGGAAAAAAGAAAAGGGCCAACCAAGAGGUCACAUUCAAGCUUGGAGCAAAGAUUUGAGGAUGUGUGGGCACCAUCAUCAGAUGAGGAGCUAGAUGUAGGUGAUUUGAAGGAGGAAUAUGAUGAUGGAGCUGAGAAUGCACCUUAUAUUCUGCCCAAUGGAAGGAAUAGAAGAGCAUAUAAAGCACAACCAAGGAAGUGGUACAGUGAAGAAAGAGAGAACCCAGAGGAGCAGUUUUGUAGAAAGCUUUGUUUCCUUAAUGUGUACCAAUUUAGGAGAGCACUCCAGACAUUUCACAUAAGUCAGAAUAGGAACUAUGAGUUCCACAAAAACUGCAAUGACAACAUCAUAGUUGUCUGCACUAAUGUUAAAUGUCCUUUCUACAUUGCAGCUUCUGUUCUUGCAAAUGAAAGUACUUUUGGAAUAAGAAAGGCCAAUUUUUUGCACACAUGCCCAGCAGUAGCAAAGAAUACCAAGGUGACAACAAAAUGGGUGGCACACCAGUGUGAGGAUAUGCUGAGAAUUGAUAUUGGCACACUAAUCACCACAAUUAUGCAGAAUUUGAAGAAGAAAUAUGGAGUAGAGAUCAACCCAUAUGGCCUAUAG